Molecule: transfer RNA, 82 nt
Filed under: Ascodesmis nigricans
Lineage: Eukaryota; Fungi; Ascomycota; Pezizomycetes; Pezizales; Ascodesmidaceae
Rfam family: tRNA
About the family: Transfer RNA (tRNA) molecules are approximately 80 nucleotides in length. Their secondary structure includes four short double-helical elements and three loops (D, anti-codon, and T loops). Further hydrogen bonds mediate the characteristic L-shaped molecular structure. tRNAs have two regions of fundamental functional importance: the anti-codon, which is responsible for specific mRNA codon recognition, and the 3' end, to which the tRNAs corresponding amino acid is attached (by aminoacyl-tRNA synthetases). tRNAs cope with the degeneracy of the genetic code in two manners: having more than one tRNA (with a specific anti-codon) for a particular amino acid; and 'wobble' base-pairing, i.e. permitting non-standard base-pairing at the 3rd anti-codon position.
Source: Rfam by way of RNAcentral
GAUUCAGUAGUGUAGGGGUAUCAUGGGCGCUUGCCAUUGCAGCAUUCUGCGCCCGACCCGGGUUCAAAUCCCGGCUGAAUCA